Molecule: ribosomal RNA, 499 nt
Filed under: uncultured bacterium
Lineage: Bacteria
Description: partial 16S ribosomal RNA
Rfam family: Bacterial small subunit ribosomal RNA
Source: RNAcentral
AUUGAACGCUGGCGGCAUGCCUACACAUGCAAGUCGAACGGCAGCACGGGAGCAAUCCUGGUGGCGAGUGGCGAACGGGUGAGUAAAGUAUCGGAACGUGCCCAGUCGUGGGGGAUAACGUAGCGAAAGUUACGCUAAUACCGCAUACGAUCUAUGGAUGAAAGCGGGGGAUCGCAAGACCUCGCGCGAUUGGAGCGGCCGAAAUCAGAUUAGGUAGGUGGUGGGGUAAAGGCUCACCAAGCCGAAGAUCUGUAGCUGGUCUGAGAGGACGACCAGCCACACUGGGACUGAGACACGGCCCAGACUCCUACGGGAGGCAGCAGUGGGGAAUUUUGGACAAUGGGCGAAAGCCUGAUCCAGCCAUGCCGCGUGCAGGAUGAAGGCCUUCGGGUUGUAAACUGCUUUUGUACGGAACGAAAAGGUUUGGCCUAAUAAGCUGAGCUCAUGACGGUACCGUAAGAAUAAGCACCGGCUAACUACGUGCCAGCCGCCGCGGUAA